GACGAACGCUGGCGGCGUGCUUAACACAUGCAAGUCGAACGGAAAGGCCCUGCUUUUGUGGGGUGCUCGAGUGGCGAACGGGUGAGUAACACGUGAGUCACCUUCCCUUGACUUUGGGAUAACUUCAGGAAACUGGGGCUAAUACCGGAUAGGAGCUCCUGCUGCAUGGUGGGGGUUGGAAAGUUUCGGCGGUUGGGGAUGGACUCGCGGCUUAUCAGCUUGUUGGUGGGGUAGUGGCUUACCAAGGCUUUGACGGGUAGCCGGCCUGAGAGGGUGACCGGCCACAUUGGGACUGAGAUACGGCCCAGACUCCUACGGGAGGCAGCAGUGGGGAAUAUUGCACAAUGGGCGGAAGCCUGAUGCAGCAACGCCGCGUGCGGGAUGACGGCCUUCGGGUUGUAAACCGCUUUCGCCUGUGACGAAGCGUGAGUGACGGUAAUGGGUAAAGAAGCACCGGCUAACUACGUG
RNAcentral lists this ribosomal RNA (468 nucleotides) under uncultured bacterium. RNAcentral's name for it is "partial 16S ribosomal RNA". It matches the Rfam family "Bacterial small subunit ribosomal RNA", at positions 28 to 507 of the family's 1533-position model. The record is from RNAcentral.